UGAUCUAGUAAUCCAUCGAUCAGUUCAAU
This 29-nucleotide small RNA is filed under the name Bombyx mori (domestic silkworm). RNAcentral's name for it is "ovarian small RNA-32729". The record is from RNAcentral. Lineage: Eukaryota; Metazoa; Arthropoda; Insecta; Lepidoptera; Bombycidae.